Molecule: long non-coding RNA, 2285 nt
Organism: Anneissia japonica
Lineage: Eukaryota; Metazoa; Echinodermata; Crinoidea; Comatulida; Comatulidae
Exons: 2
Source: RefSeq, a predicted model, not a curated record
UCAGCGCUACUCAAGUUUGUCACAAGUUGUUCUCGUCCUCCUCUUCUCGGAUUCAAGGAAUUGGUGCCAUCAUUUUGUGUUCACUAUGGAGGAGCUGAGGAAAGAUUACCAACAGCAAGUACUUGUAUGAACUUACUGAAAUUACCAGAAUUUAAGUCCGAUGAAACUAUGAGGGAAAAGUUGGUUUAUGCCAUCGAGUCUGAGGCAGGAUUUGAACUAAGUUAGGAACUUUGAGACUGCCAAAUAUGUGUAGUUUUAUAGAGAACAUAACACAUUUAAUAUUUUUAUUCAUAUAUGCUGGCCUUUAGUUCUGCUAACAAGCCGUCAUUUUGCUGUGCUAUAACUUAUUUUCUUUAAAUAUUUUUGUAAACUUUACCCAAUAAUAUAUGUGCAAUGGGAUAAAUUGAGCACUGUUUAGCGUAUUAAGGCCUGUUUACACUAUGACGAUAACUAUAAAAUCUAAAAAGCAGUUGUUCAUAUAGGAAAUAAAAGAAAUUUUAUAGCUUUUCCCUGAUGAUGAUGUCAUUUGAAUUGACUUGUGAAAUUAUUUUUUUAUCGUAUACACGAUAAAUUGUUAUCAAAUCGUGCUAGAGUGAAAAAUUCUCUUAUUUCUUUUAUUUUCUAUAUGAACAAUUGCUUUUUAUCAUUGAUCGUUAUCGUCAUACUGUAAUCAGACCUUAAGACCGUGUACUGCACAAUUGCACAUAUAUCUACAAUAUUCAAAUUCAAGUGUUAUGAUUAGGCCAGAGAAGAAUUGGUUGUGUGGCUCAAACUUUGUGACAGUUGAAAAUCAUGGUUGGUCAGUUGGAAGUUGUUUCUUUUGAUAUAUUAUCUUUAGUACGAUAGGUCUACGGUAUGUGUAAUUCUAGGGGUUGUCUUUAGUGUGAUAGGUCUAUGUUUAAUUCUAGGGGCUAUCAUUAGUACAUUACGAUAGGUCUGUGCCUAAUUCAAGAGGCUAUCUUUAGUACGUUAUGAUAAGUCUAUGCCUAAUUUUAGGGUGCAUGGCUAACACUAACCUCCCUUUUGACUGUUGAAGUGGCAACAACCGGGCUAAAAUCCAUUAAUCAAAUUAAUAACUAUUUUUAUUGGAUCCACUGAAGGCAAAAAAAUCUGACUUUUAAAAUUCUUGAAUUAUAUAGUGGCAGACCAGAGGAUCAGGGCACAAUACAUGAUUUUGUGAAGCUUCACUCUUUUAUAAUGAUCUUUUGUUGCUGUUGAUCCAAAAUAUGAAAUGAAUGUGUUAAUUUUUUAACAUUUCUUAAGGAAUAAGUAAAUAAAAACAGAUGAUGUUUGGUUUUCAACAAAAAAUGAAAAGUCCUAUUUAAGAAUGCAAGAUUAAUGAUUCCAAGGCUAUUAAUAAUAAACCACAUCAGCUUUUGUUUAAUUAGUAAGCAAUACUAGAUAUUGAUAUUUUGUGUAGAAAUUAUCAAUUAUUAUGAUCAUCAUAAGCAACAUUAUUAUCUUAGAUAUCGUUGCAUAGUUUGACUUACUGAUUGAUUAUUGCCAUUAAAUUGUGACCGGUUUUCGUCUAGGUAGGGCUUAUGGCCAUAUACUGUAUGUACUAUAAUGAUUGUUACGCAUUAUUGUUGUUAACAUAUUUAUCAACAUACUAUAAACAGUCCUUGAUUUACUAUAAUAAUAAUAUUACUAUGUGGUUAGAAUCAAUUUUUUUUUGUUAAUUGUGGCUGUACAAUAUAUACAAAAAGCUACAAAAUAUGCCAUAAUACCUCGAAUAGAAGCCCUGGGCUUCUUUUCUUUGCAAACUUGUAAGGGUUUGCUUUUCGAGAUGGACUUCUUUUUGAGAUGGACUGUUUUUAAAGGCUGUUUUACAAACUAAAGAGGUGGGUUUCUUUUCAAAAUGAAUCCUGUAAAUUUUGGAAUUACUACUAUAAAACAAUUAUCAGUCUGUAGGCCUACCAUAGAGUAUAUUAACUGAACUACAUUAUAAACCAAGCGUGUUUAUAAUAUAUAUAUAUUUUUUUUUUAUUCAUGUACAGUGUAUUUAUUUUACUAUCUCGAAAAAAAGCUCUUGGGAUUCUUUUUCAUGGGCUUCUUUUGGAGGCUACUUUUGCAAAAUUAAAAGGGGGCUCCAAUUCGAGAUUAAGCCUAUUGGGCUUCCAUUCGAGGUUUUACAGUAGUACGGUAAUCGGUUAUGGAUAUCUGUAAUGAAAUUAUAUCAGAGUAACAUACAUAUCCUAUUUAUUUAACUUUAUAAUAGGGUCAUAAUUUUGUUGUUUGUAUUCAUUUAUAAAUGAAAAUUAAAUUACCUGAAAUCUUGGUUUUAA